AAUUGGAGGGCAAGUCUGGUGCCAGCAGCCGCGGUAAUUCCAGCUCCAAUAGCGUAUAUUAAAGUUGUUGCAGUUAAAAAGCUCGUAGUUGAAUUUCGGGGUUAGUAGGUUGGUCGUGCCUCUGGUAUGUACUGAUCUCACUGAUUCCUCCUUCCUUAUGAACCGUAAUGCCAUUAAUUUGGUGUUGCGGGGAAUUUGGACUGUUACUUUGAAAAAAUUAGAGUGUUUAAAGCAGGCUAACGCUUGAAUACAUUAGCAUGGAAUAAUGAAAUAGGACGUUCGAUCUUAUUUUGUUGGUUUCUAGGAUUGACGUAAUGAUUAAUAGGGAUAGUUGGGGGCAUUAGUAUUCAAUUGUCAGAGGUGAAAUUCUUGGAUUUAUUGAAGACUAACUACUGCGAAAGCAUUUGCCAAGGAUGUUUUCAUUAAUCAAGAACGAAAGUUAGGGGAUCGAAGACGAUCAGAUACCGUCGUAGUCUUAACCAUAAACUAUGCCGACUAGGGAUCGGAUGAUGUUAAUUUUUUAAUGACUCAUUCGGCGCCUUACGGGAAACCAAAGUGU
RNAcentral lists this ribosomal RNA (559 nucleotides) under uncultured Glomus. RNAcentral describes it as "SSU rRNA". It matches the Rfam family "Eukaryotic small subunit ribosomal RNA", at positions 546 to 1106 of the family's 1831-position model. Lineage: Eukaryota; Fungi; Glomeromycota; Glomeromycetes; Glomerales; Glomeraceae. The record is from RNAcentral.